AUGAGUACCCCUGAAGGACGUAGCUGUUCAUCCUUUCAUCAACACUUAGAGCCUGAGAGGUUACGCAGCGUCCUCUGGAAAAAUACCAGACCCGCACGGACACCCACAUGCAGCAGGAGAGGAGGAAGUUUCUGUGCUUCCCGCUGGGAUGGCUCCCUCGUUUCAUCCUUUAUUCUCUCAGGAUGGUUUCUGCUGUCGUACGACGGACCUGUCAACAACAUGUGUCCCGCCCUGCUUCACUCAUCACUCUGCGACCAGAACAGGGUUUCAUCUUACUGCUCUCUCUUUGUUUCCUCCUCUAAUAUAAUUUAUAUGCCUGCUCAGCUGAAACCGUGCAGCUGGAUCAUUAUUCAUGAAGUCGAACAUCGCUGCACAGCAUUAUUACACGUAAUCCGUUUCAUCUGUAAUUCCUUCCUGAAGUUACAAUUGUGCAAACAGAUCAACCAAAAGUUUAUGAAGGCAUGCCUAUCCCUUCCCUCUUGCUUCCACGUUCACCGACUAAUGUUCUCGUCCACUCCCACGCAUGUGUGAAGGUGACGUUGAGGUGGGAGUUUUCCUCGCUCAUUGAGAGUCUAUAGGUUGAAGGGGUCACAGCAUGAAUUCGUUGUUCCCGUAACGUGGGAGUUGGGAAGCCCUUUGAGACUGCAACAGUGACUAACAAGGCUGCAUGAAAUAAACUUGCAGAUCCGCGCGUCCCUGGCUGCUGAUAAAAUUAGGACCGAGGUGUAGAGAGCGGAGCCGAGCGUGGGUUGUUCUGAUGGGAGGAGGACAUUCAGCAGAUGUGGUGGUUAAGCAAAACAAUCAUGAGAAAUUUGUACAAUUAGAGGAAAACAGACUGAACGAUUUUUUGGUGUUCACCAACUUUCAGGUUUACUUCAGGCUUGAGAUCGGUUGAUGCAGGGCUGAAGAGUUACAGGAGCAGCUCAGGUAUUCUGUAGCAAUCCUUUAAACGCGGAUGUAACUUCCUGCUUCUGCAGCUUCAAAGGAAGUAAAGGUGGUGCAUUUUACACUCUUCAUUAGUGAUAACACCGUUGCAUUAACAUGAUUUUCAAAAUUCAGCAAUAAUUAGAUAGACUUGGUCCUCAUCCAUCCAUUUUCUUCCACACAGCCUAAGUCAGGGUAGGCAACUCUGGUCCGAGAGAGCCGCAGUCCUGCUCCUUUUUCAACUAUCUGUGUUGCUCCUGCUGUUGAUUACCUGGAUCAGGUGUGUUCAGCCGAUUAGAAGCUGCAAGUUCAUGCAUGGCUAGAAAACAUGCAGGACUACAGCUCUCUAGGACCAGGGACUUCCCUCUCCCCAGCCACUUGGGCCAGCUCUUCCAGGGGAAUCCCAAAGCGUUCCCAGGCCAGGUGAGAGACAUGGUCCCUCCAGCAUGUCCUGGGUCUUCCUUUAGGCCUCCUCCCAGUUGGAUGUGCCGGGAAGACCUCACCAGGGAGGCGUCCAGGAGGCAUCCUAAUCAGAUGCCCCAGCCACCUCAACUGGCUCCUCUCGAUGUCCUCAUGUCAGUUUUAACACGCAUUUGUAAACUGACCUGUGUUUUGCUGCAGCGCUGCUGUUUUGUGCAAAUGUGAGGAUCGGCUUUUAGUAAAAGUAAAUUGUCUCUUCAGACUGAAGGGAUGUUGUUGUUCAAAGAAGACACAUCUCCAUCAUUUAUCCUGAGAUGAAAGGACAUUGAUAACAUCUGGUGGUUUAAAGUGAAUCUGGGCAAUCUCAUCUAUUUACAUCAAAACAAACUGGUCCGCUGUUUCUAAACGGACAUUCACAUCAUGGCUCAUGAUCAAGGUGAAGUAAUUAGUCUCUAAUUGUUUUUUUUAAUCUUUUAUUUCAUUCACAAUGUAUAAAAUAAACACAAACAAAUACAGGAUACAUUAACAUAUUGAAAAAAAAACAUUUGAAUGAAAAGGAGCAGAUAGAAGAAAAAAUCUUAUUUCUGCCCCUUUUUACGAAAUAAAAUUAUCUGCCAAGCAAACACAGUGUAACCUCAGUCACUUUCUAAUAUUUUCACGUCUAAUCUUUGACAUUAUAAUUCUCCUUUUCAUAAUUACUAAAUACAUUAGAUUUUAUACAUUUUUUAAAUAUUGCAAGUUAAAUAUUGCAUAUUCUUUAAAUUCCUUGUUAACGGCGUUCCACAAUCUUACACCAUUUACACAAAUGUUACAUUCCCUCACUUUGGUUCUGAAUCUAGGUUUCUCAAAGACAUCAGUUCCUUUUAACAUGUACCCACUUACUCUCUUAUGAAACAUUUUCUGAAUAUUAGUUGGUAGAUUACUCGUAUUCGCUCUGUACAUUAUUUGCAAUAUUUUCCACUCUACCAAGUCAGGAAAUUUCAGUAUUUUGUAUCUAAUGAAUUAUGAAUUAGUGUGAUCUCUAUAGUUACUGUUAUUAAUGAUUCUCAAUGCUCUUUUUUGCAAAAUGAACAAUGGUUGUGUAAAAGUUUUGCAAGUAUGUUAUGCAAGUAAUUGUUUUUUCUAAAUUUGAAUUUGAUUUGUUUAACCGUUUGAUUUAAAGCGUUUCUGUGCCAGAGGGAGUUAAAGCUGCAAUCUGGAGUUUUCCCACUUUCUGGAAUUGCUUUUGAUCAUUAGAAAUCUGUGAAAGUGAUAUAAUGCAGGCAACAUGUUCUGUGAUGGAGAAUUUAAAUGAAGCGUGUGGAAAGUAAAAUAAUUAGAUCAGAGCAGGUUUAUAUGUGAGAAAAUUGAUCAAUAAGAUUUAAUUUUCCUCUCAGAACCAACAGAAAUCUAAAUGUUGGAUCUGAAUCUUCCUUCCUGCAGCUCUGUAAUCUAAUAUUCAUCACGCACACGUUGCACCAAUGAUGCAGCAAUAAAAUAAUUCUCCUUUGAGCUCACCGAUCGUUCAGCGUGCUGCCACAAGAAGAUGUUUCGGUUCGCUAACGGCUGUGCUCGGGACAUUGUUUGCUAAAUUCCACUGUUGUUAAACAAAAAUAGAACAGCAUGGCCUUGUUUCAUACAUUACAUACAUUAUAGAGCUUUUGGGUAACGUGCUCUUCUGCCUCCACGAGCUAAAGCUUUGAGAAAUGUGGCAGAGCUCUGCAGUUGCAGCUCAGAGACUUUACUUAUUUAAAGUACGGAGUGAGGAACAUUUAUGAGCGGUCAGUAUCAAACCUACUUCAGACAGCUGUCAGAAUAAAAGUCCAAAGUUGGCCAAUAAAUGAUAAAUGACCCGCACUUGUACAGCGCCUCUCAGAGUAUGGACUCCAAAGCGCUUUACACUACAGCGCAUCAUUCAUCCAUUCACACACACAUUCCCACACUGGUGGUGAUGAGCUACGAUGUAGCCACAGCUGCCCUGGGGCGCACUGACAGAAGCGAGGCUGCCGAGCACAGGCGCCACCGGUCCCUCCGACCACCACCAGCAGGCAACGUGGGUUAAGUGUCUUGCCCAAGGACACAGCAGCAGAAUUCUCUGUCCGGAGCCAGAAUCGAACCUGCAACCUUCCGAUUACUGGACAACCCGCUCAUCCUGUUGAGCUACUGCUGCCCAAUAAGGAGUAUAAUCAAUCAAUCAAUCAAUCAAUCAAAUUUUAUUUCUAAAGCGCUUUUCAAACAAAGUGUUAUUCAAAGUGCUUUACAAAAUGACCCCAGAUUCCCAUAACAGGUUAAAAACAUAAACAAACAUAUGCAAUCACACGCACACACACACAGACUCACACACACACAC
RNAcentral lists this long non-coding RNA (3673 nucleotides) under Nothobranchius furzeri (turquoise killifish). RNAcentral's name for it is "lncRNA (ENSNFUG00015024044.1)". Lineage: Eukaryota; Metazoa; Chordata; Actinopteri; Cyprinodontiformes; Nothobranchiidae. The record is from RNAcentral.